UAGGAGUGGUCGGGGGGCCAGGGGCCCCUCACAACCGUAAACCCCCUCCAGACGGGACCGACAGGUUGCCGGCGUCCGGCGGGCCGCGAACGUGAGCCGAAGCGAAGCGUCGAGGCCUUGCCUGCGCGGACGGGCGUUGAGAGUGAAUCGGGUCAGGCCGGAAGGAGCAGCCCUAAGCGACCAGCCUCGUGCUGUGCAGUUACAUGGCGGAGCAGAUACUUUGGAGUUCUGUUCGUAUUCCGCCUGGCAAUGGCAGCCGCUCUUA
Molecule: non-coding RNA, 265 nt
Filed under: uncultured archaeon
Lineage: Archaea
Source: RNAcentral